Molecule: long non-coding RNA, 840 nt
Filed under: Homo sapiens (human)
Lineage: Eukaryota; Metazoa; Chordata; Mammalia; Primates; Hominidae
Description: non-protein coding lnc-C3orf33-6:1
Source: RNAcentral
AAAAAUUGAAGGAAUGCAAUAGUCAUGAACUACGCUAUUGCUUUUGAAGGUCUCCUUCAAAACCCAUGCUUAAGAAAGAAAUUUUUCUAAAAGUUCAGGUAAGGUGGAAAGAAAGUAUUUCAAAUGUAGCAGUUCAAGAAUGUUCUUCAAGUAUAUGUAUGGUAUUUCAGUUGAAAAAUGUACUAAUAGAAGAGAUUCCAUUGGUGAAUUUUUUACUGUAGAUUCAUGUCAAUAACAUCCAAAAUAAACAGAUGGCAAAAGUACUGCUAUACAUGCCAAACUCUUAGAACACAAAGAUAUAAAUAUUUAUAUACAUUCUUAUAUUUAAGAAUAUGGAGAGAAAGACCAUAAUGUUGUGCUUGGUUUGUGUGCUCCCAAUUCAAUAUCAGCCAAAAAUAUGUACUUUCAACUGCAAAAAAGGUUUCAAAAUAAAGUCACAAGCAAAAAUGAUGACCUUAACAAAUCAUUUAUUACAUGAAAAGAAAGAACAAUAACAAAACAAAAAAACCCUGAACAGCAAGAGGGCUGUGAUUUGAGUGAAUUUAACAAAUAGAAAUAUUCAAUAUUGAAAAUAAUAAAAUUUAUAGAUAGCACUUGAAACAAGAAAAUUAAAAUGUUCAACUGUGAGUGACUUCAAAGAUUGACAUAGGUUGAACAAAACAAGAAAACUUUGCUUUUAAUUGAAGCCAUUUAUUCUUUCUAGUGGACUAUCUUUCUGAUUUAUUAAUAUAGUAGUGUAAAGGAAAUAUGAGAGACAUUUGCUUUUCUAUUCUUUUAUGUACUAGUUGACAAAGAAUGCCAAAUGUUCUGGAACAAGGGAAACAAGGGAAUGCAUCCAAC